Molecule: ribosomal RNA, 462 nt
Filed under: uncultured ammonia-oxidizing beta proteobacterium
Lineage: Bacteria; Pseudomonadati; Pseudomonadota; Betaproteobacteria
Description: bacterial SSU rRNA
Rfam family: Bacterial small subunit ribosomal RNA
Source: RNAcentral
AAGCAGGGGAUCGUAAGACCUUGCGCUUUUGGAGCGGCCGAUGCCUGAUUAGCUAGUUGGUGGGGUAAGGGCCUACCAAGGCGACGAUCAGUAGUUGGUCUGAGAGGACGACCAGCCACACUGGGACUGAGACACGGCCCAGACUCCUACGGGAGGCAGCAGUGGGGAAUUUUGGACAAUGGGCGAAAGCCUGAUCCAGCAAUGCCGCGUGAGUGAAGAAGGCCUUCGGGUUGUAAAGCUCUUUCAGUCGAGAAGAAAAGGUCGCGACUAAUAAUCGCGACUCAUGACGGUAUCGACAGAAGAAGCACCGGCUAACUACGUGCCAGCAGCCGCGGUAAUACGUAGGGUGCGAGCGUUAAUCGGAAUUACUGGGCGUAAAGGGUGCGCAGGCGGCUUUGUAAGUCAGAUGUGAAAUCCCCGGGCUUAACCUGGGAACUGCGUUUGAAACUACAAAGCUAGAGU